This 253-nucleotide ribosomal RNA is filed under the name uncultured bacterium. RNAcentral describes it as "partial 16S ribosomal RNA". It matches the Rfam family "Bacterial small subunit ribosomal RNA", at positions 524 to 776 of the family's 1533-position model. The record is from RNAcentral.
UACGUAGGGUGCAAGCGUUAAUCGGAAUUACUGGGCGUAAAGCGUGCGCAGGCGGUUUUGUAAGACUGUCGUGAAAUCCCCGGGCUCAACCUGGGAAUGGCGAUGGUGACUGCAAGGCUAGAGUUUGGCAGAGGGGGGUAGAAUUCCACGUGUAGCAGUGAAAUGCGUAGAUAUGUGGAGGAAUACCGAUGGCGAAGGCAGGUCUCUGGGCUGACACUGACGCUCAUGCACGAAAGCGUGGGGAGCAAACAGG